Hevea brasiliensis (rubber tree) is the source of this 476-nucleotide long non-coding RNA. RefSeq lists it as uncharacterized. The record is from RefSeq and is a predicted model, not a curated record. Lineage: Eukaryota; Viridiplantae; Streptophyta; Magnoliopsida; Malpighiales; Euphorbiaceae. The transcript has 3 exons.
UCACUUCCUUUCUACACAAUAUAUUCCCUCUUAACUUUAUAUAUGCAUAUAUGGUGCCUAAACCCUUAAGUCCCAUAGUCAAUCAACUCUUUCUGGUGCUGUGUUUUGUUAUUUUCCUCAGAAUAUGAACGAUCCCAAGUAUGGUUAUCCGUAUCCUCCUCCAGGUGCUUAUCAAGGGCCUCCUCCAGUGAUGGCUCCUCCUCAGUAUUAUGCAGCUCCUCCACCCCAACCACAGAGAGAAGUAGGAUUUCUUGAGGGAUGCCUUGCAGCUUUAUGUUGCUGUUGUCUCUUGGACGAGUGUUGCUGUGAUCCCUCAGUUGUAUUUGUUACCUAAUGCAUGCCUCUUAUCGUUUGAUUUACUGCAGAAAGUCUCACAUCAGCUGAUCACCAGUUUUUAUUAGUAAUUUUUUUGUUUUUUAAAUGAACAAAGUUGUAUUUUGUUUGAUUCAAUAAAAUUGUAUCUGUUGUUAGAAAUC